This is a non-coding RNA of Dipodomys ordii (Ord's kangaroo rat), 65 nucleotides long. The record is from Rfam. Lineage: Eukaryota; Metazoa; Chordata; Mammalia; Rodentia; Heteromyidae.
GGUGGCUCAGUGGUAGAGUGCAUGUCUCCUAUGCAUGAGGCCCUGGGUUUGAUUCCUCAGCACCA